This 490-nucleotide ribosomal RNA is filed under the name uncultured bacterium. Its description in RNAcentral is "partial 16S ribosomal RNA". It matches the Rfam family "Bacterial small subunit ribosomal RNA", at positions 30 to 507 of the family's 1533-position model. The record is from RNAcentral.
AUUGAACGCUGGCGGCAGGCCUAACACAUGCAAGUCGAACGGUAACAGGAAGAAGCUUGCUUCUUUGCUGACGAGUGGCGGACGGGUGAGUAAUGUCUGGGAAACUGCCUGAUGGAGGGGGAUAACUACUGGAAACGGUAGCUAAUACCGCAUAACGUCGCAAGACCAAAGAGGGGGACCUUCGGGCCUCUUGCCAUCGGAUGUGCCCAGAUGGGAUUAGCUAGUAGGUGGGGUAACGGCUCACCUAGGCGACGAUCCCUAGCUGGUCUGAGAGGAUGACCAGCCACACUGGAACUGAGACACGGUCCAGACUCCUACGGGAGGCAGCAGUGGGGAAUAUUGCACAAUGGGCGCAAGCCUGAUGCAGCCAUGCCGCGUGUAUGAAGAAGGCCUUCGGGUUGUAAAGUACUUUCAGCGGGGAGGAAGGGAGUAAAGUUAAUACAUUUGCUCAUUGACGUUACCCGCAGAAGAAGCACCGGCUAACUCCGUG